RNAcentral lists this ribosomal RNA (648 nucleotides) under Triticum aestivum (bread wheat). RNAcentral describes it as "partial small subunit ribosomal RNA". The record is from RNAcentral. Lineage: Eukaryota; Viridiplantae; Streptophyta; Magnoliopsida; Poales; Poaceae.
GAUGGUUGGUUUCCAUUUCUGAGUUCGACUGUUACUACGGUAAAUCGCAAGAAACGGAAAAUGGCUGUUGAAUUUCGUCGCACACGAUAUGAAGAACGUGUUGUUGAUGGUUUCUUGCCGAGGGAUUGGCAUGGUUAUUCGGUUUACUUGUGUUCGGAUGUAAUUGGGGUAGAUCGCAACAAAUGGAAAAAGAGGCGUGUGACGAUUAAGUUGCGUCGCCCUGGAUAUGAAGAUGUUGUUGUCCAGAGCCCUUUGCCAAAGGAUUGGCAGGGUUAUUCGGUCAAGUUUGCUGAGUCCUUAAAAGCUUCAUAUGCAGAUAGGUCGUACUAUGGGCCUCCUGAUUUUUUGUGUCAAUACUGUGGUGCUUCCUUCUGGUAUGCCAAGUGUUCUAAGGCCACGUCAUCGUGGACACUGCGUAAGGUGGCUUACUAUCGCUGUUGUAAAGGCGCAAAGGUCUAUAUUCCCCCCUUUAAUGAUCCCCCGGCCUAUCUCCGGGAGCUCCUUCGUUUCGAUGGUACUUCUCGUGCUAAAAAAUUCCUCUGGUCUAUACGUGAGUACAAUUGUAUGUUCGCCUUCACUUCUAUGGGUGCUACUAUCGAGCGUUCGUUUGGUGGUAGCCGGGGGCCUAAGAUUUUUAAGAUUAGUGGU